GCUACAUGGCGCGUGUGGGGGAUUUGCAUAUCCUUAUGAGCGUACCUUCCAGUGCCUUCGAAUUUAUUUUUUUUCGUUUCUGGAGGCUCCGUUUGCGGGUGCACCUAAUGCUUUACCUGCAAGGAAUGUUGAGGUCCUGCACGGCAAGGGCAAGCACUAAUUAUUUCUCGUUUCCAGAGGCUCCGUUCGCAAAGCGCCUCAUGCUUUGCCAUGGCAUCCAAUCGCUGAAGAGCUGCUCAAUUGGGGUUUCAAGAGCUGAACGCCGAGCUCCGUGAUACAGUUUCUGCAGCUGUUUAUCUAUUUUCUUCUUUAUUGCCCUUCCGCACUUGCUUUGUAAAAGAGGGGGACCGCACUUUCAACAAUGCCAAAGGAGCAUUUAAAGGUUUCUGAAUAUCAGAGGCUCUGUUUGCGUGAGCAUCUCAUGCUUUGCAAGGUCACGCAAAAAUUAGAGAGCACGGAGGAUGCCGUGUGGGCUGUGCAAUGAAUGUUGAGGUCCUCCACGGCAAAUACGGCUUCUGGGUAAUCUCUGUCAAUGUUGCCGCUAGUUAGAAUCUGAAGAAGGGUUUGAGAAUCUGAAGGAUGGCAAAGGGGCAUUUACAGCUUUAUGGAUAUGAGAAGUGUUUCUGCAACACUGAUUCUUUAGUUUUUUCGCCUACCCACUAUUUUCGAAGCAGAGGACCGCGGCAAAUAUGACUGCCACCUGGGAAUGCAGAAGAACAAAUCGGGCGCCUUUGAUGGGCACAUGGUGCGGAACUCUGGAGCGGAUCAAUGUGGUAUGUUCUUUAAAUCUUUUUUAGGAUAAUAUACAGACAAAAUAAU
This is a long non-coding RNA of Cryptomeria japonica (Japanese cedar), 819 nucleotides long. RefSeq lists it as uncharacterized. The record is from RefSeq and is a predicted model, not a curated record. Lineage: Eukaryota; Viridiplantae; Streptophyta; Pinopsida; Cupressales; Cupressaceae. The transcript is spliced from 3 exons.